AUUGAACGCUGGCGGCAUGCCUUACACAUGCAAGUCGAACGGCAGCACAGGUGCUUGCACCUGGUGGCGAGUGGCGAACGGGUGAGUAAUACAUCGGAACAUGUCCUGUAGUGGGGGAUAGCCCGGCGAAAGCCGGAUUAAUACCGCAUACGAUCUACGGAUGAAAGCGGGGGACCUUCGGGCCUCGCGCUAUAGGGUUGGCCGAUGGCUGAUUAGCUAGUUGGUGUGGUAAAGGCCUACCAAGGCGACGAUCAGUAGCUGGUCUGAGAGGACGACCAGCCACACUGGGACUGAGACACGGCCCAGACUCCUACGGGAGGCAGCAGUGGGGAAUUUUGGACAAUGGGCGAAAGCCUGAUCCAGCAAUGCCGCGUGUGUGAAGAAGGCCUUCGGGUUGUAAAGCACUUUUGUCCGGAAAGAAAUCCUUGGCCCUAAUACGGUCGGGGGAUGACGGUACCGGAAGAAUAAGCACCGGCUAACUACGUG
RNAcentral lists this ribosomal RNA (486 nucleotides) under uncultured bacterium. Its description in RNAcentral is "partial 16S ribosomal RNA". It matches the Rfam family "Bacterial small subunit ribosomal RNA", at positions 30 to 507 of the family's 1533-position model. The record is from RNAcentral.